Molecule: ribosomal RNA, 1210 nt
Filed under: Phocaeicola vulgatus
Lineage: Bacteria; Pseudomonadati; Bacteroidota; Bacteroidia; Bacteroidales; Bacteroidaceae
Description: bacterial SSU rRNA
Rfam family: Bacterial small subunit ribosomal RNA
Source: RNAcentral
CUAGCUACAGGCUUAACACAUGCAAGUCGAGGGGCAGCAUGGUCUUAGCUUGCUAAGGCCGAUGGCGACCGGCGCACGGGUGAGUAACACGUAUCCAACCUGCCGUCUACUCUUGGACAGCCUUCUGAAAGGAAGAUUAAUACAAGAUGGCAUCAUGAGUNCACAUGUUCACAUGAUUAAAGGUAUUCCGGUAGACGAUGGGGAUGCGUUCCAUUAGAUAGUAGGCGGGGUAACGGCCCACCUAGUCUUCGAUGGAUAGGGGUUCUGAGAGGAAGGUCCCCCACAUUGGAACUGAGACACGGUCCAAACUCCUACGGGAGGCAGCAGUGAGGAAUAUUGGUCAAUGGGCGAGAGCCUGAACCAGCCAAGUAGCGUGAAGGAUGACUGCCCUAUGGGUUGUAAACUUCUUUUAUAAAGGAAUAAAGUCGGGUAUGGAUACCCGUUUGCAUGUACUUUAUGAAUAAGGAUCGGCUAACUCCGUGCCAGCAGCCGCGGUAAUACGGAGGAUCCGAGCGUUAUCCGGAUUUAUUGGGUUUAAAGGGAGCGUAGAUGGAUGUUUAAGUCAGUUGUGAAAGUUUGCGGCUCAACCGUAAAAUUGCAGUUGAUACUGGAUAUCUUGAGUGCAGUUGAGGCAGGCGGAAUUCGUGGUGUAGCGGUGAAAUGCUUAGAUAUCACGAAGAACUCCGAUUGCGAAGGCAGCCUGCUAAGCUGCAACUGACAUUGAGGCUCGAAAGUGUGGGUAUCAAACAGGAUUAGAUACCCUGGUAGUCCACACGGUAAACGAUGAAUACUCGCUGUUUGCGAUAUACAGCAAGCGGCCAAGCGAAAGCGUUAAGUAUUCCACCUGGGGAGUACGCCGGCAACGGUGAAACUCAAAGGAAUUGACGGGGGCCCGCACAAGCGGAGGAACAUGUGGUUUAAUUCGAUGAUACGCGAGGAACCUUACCCGGGCUUAAAUUGCAGAUGAAUUACGGUGAAAGCCGUAAGCCGCAAGGCAUCUGUGAAGGUGCUGCAUGGUUGUCGUCAGCUCGUGCCGUGAGGUGUCGGCUUAAGUGCCAUAACGAGCGCAACCCUUGUUGUCAGUUACUAACAGGUUCNGCUGAGGACUCUGACAAGACUGCCAUCGUAAGAUGUGAGGAAGGUGGGGAUGACGUCAAAUCAGCACGGCCCUUACGUCCGGGGCUACACACGUGUUACAAUGGGGGGUACA